RNAcentral lists this ribosomal RNA (533 nucleotides) under uncultured organism. Its description in RNAcentral is "bacterial SSU rRNA". It matches the Rfam family "Bacterial small subunit ribosomal RNA", at positions 13 to 565 of the family's 1533-position model. The record is from RNAcentral.
UUGAUCCUGGCUCAGGACGAACGCUGGCGGGUGGUUAGACAUGCAAGCGAACGAGAAGCUCCCUUCGGGGAGUGGAGAGUGGCGCACGGGUGAGUAACACGUGAGCAACCUGCCGGGAAGCCCGGGAUAGCCCUCCGAAAGGAGGUUAAUACCGGAUGUGGCCACCCUGCGAUUGCGGGGGAGCUAAAGGAUUAUUCACUUCCCGAGGGGUCGCGGCCCAUCAGCUUGUUGGUGAGGGUAACGGCCCACCAAGGCGACAACGGGUAGCUGGUCUGAGAGGAUGGUCAGCCACACUGGAACUGAGACACGGUCCAGACACCUACGGGUGGCAGCAGUCGAGAAUCACUCGCAAUGGGGGAAACCCUGACGAUGCGACGCCGCGUGGAGGAUGAAGGCCUUAGGGUUGUAAACUCCUGUCAAGAGGGAAUAAGCAAGUGAAGGUACCUCUAAGAGGAAGGGGCGGCUAAUUCCGUGCCAGCAGCCGCGGUAACACCGGAAGCCCCGAGCGUUGUCCGGAUUCAUUGGGCGUAAAG